This 119-nucleotide ribosomal RNA is filed under the name Gossypium arboreum. Lineage: Eukaryota; Viridiplantae; Streptophyta; Magnoliopsida; Malvales; Malvaceae. The record is from RNAcentral.
GAGUGCGAUCAUACCAGCACUAAUGCACCGGAUCCCAUCAGAACUCCGCAGUUAAGUGUGCUUGGGCUAGAGUAGUACUAGGAUGGGUGACCUCAUGGGAAGUUUUAGUGUUGCACCCC